Molecule: transfer RNA, 63 nt
Filed under: Hypsiscopus plumbea (rice paddy snake)
Lineage: Eukaryota; Metazoa; Chordata; Lepidosauria; Squamata; Homalopsidae
Description: tRNA-Lys
Source: RNAcentral
CACCGAGAAGCUUCUAUAGCAUCAGCCUUUUAAGUUGAAAGAGGAAACGUCUUUCCCUCGGUG